This 252-nucleotide ribosomal RNA is filed under the name uncultured bacterium. RNAcentral describes it as "partial 16S ribosomal RNA". It matches the Rfam family "Bacterial small subunit ribosomal RNA", at positions 524 to 776 of the family's 1533-position model. The record is from RNAcentral.
GACGUAGGAGGCGAGCGUUGUCCGGAUUCAUUGGGCGUAAAGAGCGCGCAGGCGGCUUGGUAGUCGGAUGUGAAAACCCGAGGCUCAACCUCGGGCGUGCAUCCGAAACUGCUCGGCUAGAGGUAGGUAGGGGAGAUCGGAAUUCCUGGUGUAGCGGUGAAAUGCGCAGAUAUCGGGAGGAACACCGGUGGCGAAGGCGGAUCUCUGGGCCUUACCUGACGCUCAGGCGCGAAAGCUAGGGGAGCGAACUGG